CCCCAGAGGCAGAGACCGCCACAACCGUCACCAAAGGCUGUUUACUUACCUCAGGGACAUUCUAGCCCUGAGCAAAAUCUGCAUGUGUCUGAACUGGAGGUGGGUUGGCAAGUGCGUGGAGGUGGUUUGGAACUUCUGUGGGAGCCCAGGAAAUAGCUGCCACUGUCUUCUCCAUUCCCCUUCCCUGCCUGGUGGUCGGGUGUGCAUCAUUUGCUAGAAGCCCACCCAGUGGCCUGGAAGCCUGGGGACUUGGCCUGCUUGCUGGGGAGAAUCUUGCUCCACUAAGGGGUUAAAGGCACUCCAUCUAACUUGGAUCAACGAUCCCAGGGCUGUUGAAGGAGAUGACAGGCCCAUGUGUGUGCCCACACUGGCUCCAAGCAGAGAGGAACCAGUUCUACCUCAAGACUCCCAGGCACCCCCGAUCUGGAAGACAGAGCUCUAUCUUGCUGCAAAGCUACAUCUGCCCACCAGAUGAGCAGUACCUGUAAAAACUUCCCACAUCAAGCCUUGUGGGGCUAAUGCCUCUUCCAGAGCCGCUGACAACAGGAAAAUGAUCCUAGCACUGCACUUCCCAAAGGACUCAGAGAUUCUUGCCCUGGAGCCAGGAAUGGGGAGUUUGAUGUUGUGUUGUCCACAGACAUUCCAGAAGGAAAGGGUUGCAGUAGGAGAAGGCCUGGACGAACAAGAGGAGGGACCAGGGAACAAAAGCAGAUUCUCAAAGAGGUCAAUAUAUAUUGGCUAAUUGCUUAAUAUUGGUAAUAGUAUUAAUAACAAAAAUCCCUACCAUUUACUGAAGGCCUUUAGCAUGCCAGGCCUCUUGCAGACAUCGCUCCAAUUCAUUCUCACAGCCUUGCAGAAUAUGUAUUACUUUCCCCAUUCUACAGAAGAAGAAACUGCUACUCCCAGAGGGUAUGCUUUCAAAGAUCACAGGGCUGCCACCAAGCCUGCUGCUUCAUGUCUGAGUGAAACAGAGCAAUCUCCCAGAUAACAGGAGACGGGUAGGUGGAAACAUUUCUAAAAUGGGGCUGAAGGAGAGCAAGUAAGCGCCAAACCUCGGUCCCAGCCCCUCUUGGAAUUGAGUUAAAGAGAAAAGAAGAGCUAAGAGCUCAGCGUUCCU
This 1117-nucleotide long non-coding RNA is filed under the name Homo sapiens (human). Its description in RNAcentral is "HSALNT0182928". Lineage: Eukaryota; Metazoa; Chordata; Mammalia; Primates; Hominidae. The record is from RNAcentral.